This 699-nucleotide ribosomal RNA is filed under the name Microbacteriaceae bacterium. RNAcentral's name for it is "bacterial SSU rRNA". It matches the Rfam family "Bacterial small subunit ribosomal RNA", at positions 789 to 1482 of the family's 1533-position model. Lineage: Bacteria; Bacillati; Actinomycetota; Actinomycetes; Micrococcales; Microbacteriaceae. The record is from RNAcentral.
GGUAGUUCACGCCGUAAACGUUGGGCGCUAGAUGUAGGGACCUUUCCACGGUUUCUGUGUCGUAGCUAACGCAUUAAGCGCCCCGCCUGGGGAGUACGGCCGCAAGGCUAAAACUCAAAGGAAUUGACGGGGGCCCGCACAAGCGGCGGAGCAUGCGGAUUAAUUCGAUGCAACGCGAAGAACCUUACCAAGGCUUGACAUACACCGGAAACGGCCAGAGAUGGUCUCCCCCUUGUGGUCGGUGUACAGGUGGUGCAUGGUUGUCGUCAGCUCGUGUCGUGAGAUGUUGGGUUAAGUCCCGCAACGAGCGCAACCCUCGUUCUAUGUUGCCAGCGUCGUUAUGGUCUGGGGACUCAUAGGAUACUGCCGGGGUCAACUCGGAGGAAGGUGGGGAUGACGUCAAAUCAUCAUGCCCCUUAUGUCUUGGGCUUCACGCAUGCUACAAUGGCCGGUACAAAGGGCUGCGAUACCGUAAGGUGGAACGAAUCCCAAAAANCCGGUCUCAGUUCGGAUUGAGGUCUGCAACUCGACCUCAUGAAGUCGGAGUCGCUAGUAAUCGCAGAUCAGCAACGCUGCGGUGAAUACUUUCCCGGGCCUUGUACACACCGCCCGUCAAGUCAUGAAAGUCGGUAACACCCGAAGCCUGUGGCCUAACCCUUGUGGAAGGAGCCGUCGAAGGUGGGAUCGGUGAUUAGGAUG